Molecule: long non-coding RNA, 632 nt
Organism: Gambusia affinis (western mosquitofish)
Lineage: Eukaryota; Metazoa; Chordata; Actinopteri; Cyprinodontiformes; Poeciliidae
Exons: 5
Source: RefSeq, a predicted model, not a curated record
UGCACACUUACAGUCUGAGUCAAUCUUUCAUAAUUGCCCUGCAUUUGACCUCUACCAACUGGAGUUAAUUAUUGAAGGACUGUCUGACUAGAAAUCCUGCAGGAAGCUGUGGUGGAGGCUGAAAGUGCAGACAAAGCUGCUGCAGCUGCAAAAAAGCUAUUGAACGGACAAGAAUGACUUUCUGAAGAGAAGCAUUUUCAUUCCGAGACGUUAAAGGGUUUGACCUUCAGGAGUCCUCUUGCUGCUCUAUCUGAUGACGACAUUAAUUGCUUGACGAAAAUGUCCGGGUUUGCUGAUUGCCAAACAUCCCGUCGCUCUCAAGAGUUCAAGACAUCUGUGAAACUGACUGAAGAAUGAUGAAUACUUCAGCUAAAAACAGGAGUUGACUUAGAAAGUGAGCUGUUACUAUCUGAGCCGAUAUCGAUAUAUGAUAUCAAUACUGCUGAUAGGCAUUCGCUAUUCUGUUGCAUCCGGCAAAGACAUUAGACAUUCUCCACGAGAUGCGAUUCCGCUCUUUUUUGCCUUUGAGAUACGGCUUAGAAAACAGAAGCUAUGAAGGCACACUGUGACUGUGGUGGACUGGCUCAAACCACGUCUGGCAGUGCACUUCCCUGUCUAUACCUGAAGGGCAU